GACGAACGCUGGCGGCGUGCUUAACACAUGCAAGUCGAACGGAAAGGCCCUGCUUUUGUGGGGUGCUCGAGUGGCGAACGGGUGAGUAACACGUGAGUAACCUGCCCUUGACUUUGGGAUAACUUCAGGAAACUGGGGCUAAUACCGGAUAGGAGCUCCUGCUGCAUGGUGGGGGUUGGAAAGUUUCGGCGGUUGGGGAUGGACUCGCGGCUUAUCAGCUUGUUGGUGGGGUAGUGGCUUACCAAGGCUUUGACGGGUAGCCGGCCUGAGAGGGUGACCGGCCACAGUGGGACUGAGAGACGGCCCAGACUCCUACGGGAGGCAGCAGUGGGGAAUAUUGCACAAUGGGCGGAAGCCUGAUGCAGCAACGCCGCGUGCGGGAUGACGGCCUUCGGGUUGUAAACCGCUUUCGCCUGUGACGAAGCGUGAGUGACGGUAAUGGGUAAAGAAGCACCGGCUAACUACGUG
RNAcentral lists this ribosomal RNA (468 nucleotides) under uncultured bacterium. RNAcentral describes it as "partial 16S ribosomal RNA". It matches the Rfam family "Bacterial small subunit ribosomal RNA", at positions 28 to 507 of the family's 1533-position model. The record is from RNAcentral.